UACAGAGGGUGCGAGCGUUGUCCGGAAUCACUGGGCGUAAAGAGCGUGUAGGCGGCUAGGUAGGUCCGUUGUGAAAACUCGAGGCUCAACCUCGAGACGCCGGUGGGAACCAUCUAGCUAGAGUCCGGAAGAGGAGAGUGGAAUUCCUGGUGUAGCGGUGAAAUGCGCAGAUAUCAGGAAGAACACCCGUGGCGAAGGCGGCUCUCUGGGACGUGACUGACGCUGAGACGCGAAAGCGUGGGGAGCGAACAGG
Molecule: ribosomal RNA, 253 nt
Filed under: uncultured bacterium
Lineage: Bacteria
Description: partial 16S ribosomal RNA
Rfam family: Bacterial small subunit ribosomal RNA
Source: RNAcentral